RNAcentral lists this microRNA (19 nucleotides) under Ciona intestinalis (vase tunicate). RNAcentral's name for it is "cin-miR-4121-3p". The record is from miRBase by way of RNAcentral. Lineage: Eukaryota; Metazoa; Chordata; Ascidiacea; Phlebobranchia; Cionidae.
GUGUUGGAGUUGGGUUUGU